GUAGCGGUGAAAUGCGUAGAUAUAUGGAAGAACACCAGUGGCGAAGGCGGCUGUCUGGUCUGUAACUGACGCUGAGGCUCGAAAGUAUGGGUAGCAAACAGGAUUAGAUACCCUGGUAGUCCAUACCGUAAACGAUGAAUGCUAAGUGUUGGAGGGUUUCCGCCCUUCAGUGCUGCAGCUAACGCAUUAAGCAUUCCGCCUGGGGAGUACGGCCGCAAGGCUGAAACUCAAAGGAAUUGACGGGGGCCCGCACAAGCGGUGGAGCAUGUGGUUUAAUUCGAAGCUACGCGAAGAACCUUACCAGGUCUUGACAUACUAUGCAAAUCUAAGAGAUUAGACGUUCCCUUCGGGGACAUGGAUACAGGUGGUGCAUGGUUGUCGUCAGCUCGUGUCGUGAGAUGUUGGGUUAAGUCCCGCAACGAGCGCAACCCUUAUUAUCAGUUGCCAGCAUUAAGUUGGGCACUCUGGUGAGACUGCCGGUGACAAACCGGAGGAAGGUGGGGAUGACGUCAAAUCAUCAUGCCCCUUAUGACCUGGGCUACACACGUGCUACAAUGGAUGGUACAACGAGUUGCGAACUCGCGAGAGUAAGCUAAUCUCUUAAAGCCAUUCUCAGUUCGGAUUGUAGGCUGCAACUCGCCUACA
RNAcentral lists this ribosomal RNA (645 nucleotides) under Lactiplantibacillus plantarum. RNAcentral's name for it is "bacterial SSU rRNA". It matches the Rfam family "Bacterial small subunit ribosomal RNA", at positions 675 to 1320 of the family's 1533-position model. The record is from RNAcentral. Lineage: Bacteria; Bacillati; Bacillota; Bacilli; Lactobacillales; Lactobacillaceae.